Molecule: ribosomal RNA, 207 nt
Filed under: uncultured bacterium
Lineage: Bacteria
Description: partial 16S ribosomal RNA
Rfam family: Bacterial small subunit ribosomal RNA
Source: RNAcentral
UCCGUAGGCGGUUUUGUAAGUCAGUGGUGAAAGCCCAUCGCUCAACGGUGGAACGGCCAUUGAUACUGCAAGACUUGAAUUAUUAGGAAGUAACUAGAAUAUGUAGUGUAGCGGUGAAAUGCUUAGAGAUUACAUGGAAUACCAAUUGCGAAGGCAGGUUACUACUAAUGGAUUGACGCUGAUGGACGAAAGCGUGGGGAGCGAACA